GUUAUUUUGGCAGAGUAGUGCGUUAGGCUUAGGACCUAAAUAUAUAGGCAAGUUCUAUAAAUAACA
This 66-nucleotide transfer RNA is filed under the name Lebbeus groenlandicus. Its description in RNAcentral is "tRNA-Leu". It matches the Rfam family "tRNA". From Rfam's summary of the family: Transfer RNA (tRNA) molecules are approximately 80 nucleotides in length. The record is from RNAcentral. Lineage: Eukaryota; Metazoa; Arthropoda; Malacostraca; Decapoda; Hippolytidae.